This is a non-coding RNA of Prunus mume (Japanese apricot), 158 nucleotides long. Lineage: Eukaryota; Viridiplantae; Streptophyta; Magnoliopsida; Rosales; Rosaceae. The record is from RefSeq and is a predicted model, not a curated record.
GUUUGUAUCUGGAACUACCAGUCACAGACCAUGGAGAAGUCCUUCAAGGUCACUGAGUCUCCAGUGAGGUCAGCCAAGUUUGUAGCACGUGAAAACUGGAUUGUAACAGCGGCUGAUGACAAGUACAUUCGCAUAUACAACUAUAAUACGAUGGAAAA